UAUUUCCUAUAAUCCACUUAUUUGCACAAGCCUCAUUUUGCCAUUUCUCCUUCUUCAUCACUCUUUAUUCCUUUUUCAUUCUCUACAAUUUGAGUAGAAAGAAGAGGAAAGAGGGUAAAAUUUAUGCAACAAAAAGGAAAAAGCUCCAGGGGAAGAAGUUAUUAGCAAUACAUUAUGGACCUACUGAGAAUUCUCAUAUUGCUAGCGUUAGGGAGGCAUUGACGCAUUUUGUUGUCUCAUUGAAUGACAAGGAGUGGUUGAAAGAAGAGAGAGAAUCUUGCUAAGGGAGUGAAACAACAAUUUCAAGAGAUGAUGCUUCAGCGCUCAGUGAAUCUACUAAGAGGAUUGUCUGAGGUUUCUUCAACUCAGCCAGUAGAGCUUAAUGUUGCCAAGUGUUAGAAUUUUACUCUCCUCUCCUCAGUUUAGAGUGUCUCCAUCCUUUCUCCAUCUGUCCUCGCUACCAACUGGGCUUCCUGUAUAGAGAUAAAAAUGCUAUGGUGAUUGGGGAUUAUCAUUCUUAGCUAAAGUUCAACUCAUAUUUUUUUGCAUCUGGGAUAAAGUUCUCUCAAAAUUGUAUAGCAAUGAAGGUAUAUUGAGUGAUUGACUUUUACAAGAAGUGCAGUUUCUUUUGUACGAUUGUCCUUGCAUAUUUCAUAUUGUGUAUAACAUAAUAACUGAAAUGAAUGUACAUUGUAUGGAGCUAUUAUGUAAAUAUCUAAUCAGCAUGAUCAUAGGUUUUCUUUA
This is a long non-coding RNA of Nicotiana attenuata, 744 nucleotides long. RefSeq lists it as uncharacterized. Lineage: Eukaryota; Viridiplantae; Streptophyta; Magnoliopsida; Solanales; Solanaceae. The transcript is spliced from 5 exons. The record is from RefSeq and is a predicted model, not a curated record.